GGGCCGUUAGCUCAAUUGGCAGAGCAACCGGCUUUUAACCGGUGAGUUCAGGGUUCGAGUCCCUGACGGCCCACCU
This 76-nucleotide transfer RNA is filed under the name Parafrankia sp. BMG5.11. Its description in RNAcentral is "Frankia sp. BMG5.11 tRNA-Lys". It matches the Rfam family "tRNA". Rfam says of the family: Transfer RNA (tRNA) molecules are approximately 80 nucleotides in length. Their secondary structure includes four short double-helical elements and three loops (D, anti-codon, and T loops). The record is from RNAcentral. RNAcentral also lists the same sequence under 2 other names. Lineage: Bacteria; Bacillati; Actinomycetota; Actinomycetes; Frankiales; Frankiaceae.